This is a long non-coding RNA of Leopardus geoffroyi (Geoffroy's cat), 1174 nucleotides long. RefSeq lists it as uncharacterized. The transcript is spliced from 4 exons. NCBI's taxonomy places the organism in Eukaryota, Metazoa, Chordata, Mammalia, Carnivora, Felidae. The record is from RefSeq and is a predicted model, not a curated record.
CUGACCUGAAAGUUCAGGGUACGUUGGGGCGUGGGAUCAUUAUGGUCACAGAUUUGUCAGGUAGGGCAGACUUGGAGGAAGUUGGUCAGGAGAGGGAAGAGAAUGAAAGAGCAGCUGGAGAAACAGAAGGACGACACAGGGGACACAAGCAGGGGAGGAUGGCCAGUCCCCACGGAUGCCUUGACUCCUUAGCUUGCUGAGACAGUUGCAGUGCAAUCUGGGAGAACCGUUAUCCAACCAUCUACCAACCCCCAGGAAGUGCAACAAACUCAGAAUCUGCUCACAGGGAAAACAGCAGAAGGAAAAUAUAGGAAGAGUUUACAUACAGGACUUCAAAUGUUUUAGACCGUGGAACUGCAGGAUGCUAUGUCACAGACACCUGUCAGUAUGUUUCUUUCAAGUGAUGGGUAUGGAACAUCCAACUAUUGUUAUGAAGGAGUUGCUAGAAUGACUGCAAUUGCAAUUGUAUACACCUGAUGGGAACUAGACGGAUAUACCCUGAAUUAGAGGCUGGAGGAAUCUACAUGGAGUGGCUUCAGAUCCUGGAGAUUCCAACAUUUAAUUAACCCAACUCUGAAGAAUUUCUGAGGAUGAAGAGGUGGAAAAGAAGUUUGAAGAAACAGAUUGAUUCUACUGUUAGCUCUGCCAUCACUUCGACCAGUUCUUUUUUUUCUCAACUAUAUUUUUCCUUCUCUUGAGUGUGUCAAAGUACUGCCUAGCUGCAGCCCAAGAAUUGGCAUUUCCCUUCUAGGCUGUCUUUAUGGCACUCAUUUUAAGUGGGAGAACCCCUUCUGAAAACGUGUUAGAAUUCAUUAUAACUUUUCCUGUCUCUCGCAGGUAGAGAAAACUUUUGAGGUUAGAAUCCACAUUUCUUUGAUCUCUAGUGACCAGUGCUAAGCAGAGUGCUUUGCUCAUGGUGAGUGAUCAGUGAUUCUUUAUUUAACUGAAUUUUACUAUGAGGAUAAAACCAAAUGGAAAACAUGUAUAAAGUGGUUUAUAAAGUGUGAAUAUAUAUGUGUAUAUACACACAUAUAUAAAAAACUAAGUCAUUAUCAGUAAAGUUAAUCUUACUUUCUUAUCCUCCUUCCACUUAUUCUAUAAAUAUUUACUCUCUGAGGUGGUGAGCAGAGGAUAAUUAGAGAAAAUAAAUCUGUUUGGGCAACAGCAAACAUCA